GAAGAAUUCCCCAUGAAUCUAAAUAUUAAUGCUGCAGCGAGUCAUUCAAAAGUCAAUUGGAGCAUUCUGAAGAAUUCUAAAGGUUCUCUCAUGAGAAAGUUAAUGAGGUUCGAAAGAAAUGGAGGCAAGGACAGCAACGAAAAUGGUGGCAGCAAGGAAAACGAGGGCAAUGAGGACAGCGAAG
Molecule: long non-coding RNA, 184 nt
Organism: Stegostoma tigrinum
Lineage: Eukaryota; Metazoa; Chordata; Chondrichthyes; Orectolobiformes; Stegostomatidae
Exons: 3
Source: RefSeq, a predicted model, not a curated record